Molecule: non-coding RNA, 21 nt
Filed under: Caenorhabditis elegans
Lineage: Eukaryota; Metazoa; Nematoda; Chromadorea; Rhabditida; Rhabditidae
Source: RNAcentral
UGAGCUUGAUCCUCUAUUUGA